Non-coding RNA from Salmo salar (Atlantic salmon), 54 nucleotides. The record is from Rfam. Lineage: Eukaryota; Metazoa; Chordata; Actinopteri; Salmoniformes; Salmonidae.
AGCGACCAUGACUGUCAGUUGCUUUGGAUAAAAGCAUCUGCUAAAUGGCAUAUA